GAAAAAACGAAUGCAUUUACAAGUUUUAUCACAAAUUUAUGCAUUCAUUUCAGAUAAAAUGUACAAAAAUUAUUAAUUAAUUCCUAGAAAGGAAAAAUGUUAAAUCCUAGAAAGGAAAAAUGUUAGAAAAACCUGAAAAGAGAAAUUCCUAAAAAGAGAAAUUCUAAAAAAAAGAGAAAGGAAAUAAAAUAUGAUAAUUCCUAGAAAGGAAAAAUGUUAGUAAAAACCUGAAAAGAGAAAUUCCUAAAAAGAGAAAUUCUAAAAAAGAGAGAAAAGAAAUAAAAUAUGUUAGUGAACCUAAAAGAAAAACACCUUAAAAAAGAGAAAAAGAAAGUAUAUAAUAUUGUUAGUGAACAUUAAAAAUAUAAAAACCUAAAAAAUGAGAAGAAAGUAAUAUAAUAUGUUAGCAAACCUAAAAGGGAAGAAAUCUAUAUUUUGAUUCACCUAAAAAAAGACACGAGAAUAUUAGUAUGGUGCAAGUAAUUCUUGUAUUUUUUAAUAAAUUUAUUAAACAUCCAGCUAAGUAUUAAAUGUACAGCUAAGUGUUUGUAAACAGUAAACUACAUGUAUGUGCAAGUCAUGUGUAACAGUCAGAAGGAAAAGACCACAGAAUUUUGUGAAAGGAUUAGAAUUAUUAUAACCUUGUAACCGUAGCAUUUUAUAUAGAAGCUAGUAGCAAACAAGUCUAUUUUCAGCUAAAGCAUAUAGCAAUAGCAACCUUGCUGUCCUUAUAGAAACAGCAAUCAAAAUAAGAAUACACUAUAUCUUUGUGAUAAAGCAUAUAGCAAAAUAGCACUUACUGUCCUUAUAGAAACAGCUAUGAAAAUUAAUUAAAUGUACUCAAUAGCACUGCUGUCCUUACAGAAACAGCAUGAAAAUUAUUAAAUUAAAUGUAUUAUUUUUUUGCUAAAGCAUAUAGCAAUAGCACUUGCUGCCCU
Paramuricea clavata is the source of this 938-nucleotide non-coding RNA. The record is from the annotation of a GenBank genome assembly. Lineage: Eukaryota; Metazoa; Cnidaria; Anthozoa; Malacalcyonacea; Plexauridae.